GCACUGCUGAGGAGUCCCAUAAUAGGAAGGAACGGCCGUCCAGUGC
Schistosoma rodhaini is the source of this 46-nucleotide non-coding RNA. The record is from Rfam. NCBI's taxonomy places the organism in Eukaryota, Metazoa, Platyhelminthes, Trematoda, Strigeidida, Schistosomatidae.